Molecule: long non-coding RNA, 1180 nt
Organism: Thunnus maccoyii (southern bluefin tuna)
Lineage: Eukaryota; Metazoa; Chordata; Actinopteri; Scombriformes; Scombridae
Exons: 4
Source: RefSeq, a predicted model, not a curated record
GCAACAUUUCAUAUUAACAUUCAACAUUGUAACAUUAUAUAUAUAUCUGAAAAUAAGGAAAAGCGUAAUAAGUCCCGUUUAGGACAUAAAGUACUACACCGAAAUGUCCCGAACACAUGCAGAGGACCUGUUGUAUGAUCAAAACCCUGGAUCUGAGGGAUUCACCUGGUGCUUAGUAUUGAAGACUGAAGCUGUUUUCCUAACUGCAGUGAUGAAGGGUAACAGGCUGAUUCUUGCUUCUUGGUUGGAUGCUACUUGUGGACUCUUCCAGGAUCAGUUUUAUCUUCACUCUACCAGAAGAAAACCAGGUCAUCCCAAUGAGCAUGUCUGAAGAUGCUGUUUGACAUGUACUUUACUUGCAACAAAACAAUGUUGAAAAUUAUCCAGGACAAAUACUUUAAAAAAAGUGAACACUGAAAUAUUUGCAGAUGUCUGGAGAAAAGCACAAGGUUCUGCAGAUGGGAAACUAGAAGAAAAAGACAGAGGGGAUAAGGCUUUAACCAACCAUCAAAUGCAAGCAAUCUGUGUUUAUACCACUGGAUAUCAGACACUUUAUAGGAUGGGUCUAUUUGUAGAAGGUCUGGGUGAUUGUGAGGUUGUCUAUAACCUGGAAAGCACAGGAGUUCAAAGCAAUCUAAACUGCAAAGCUGCAUUCCCACGAGAGACUAGUGUUUCUUCUUCAGCUUGUGGAGCAAAGUGAAAACAUUUAGUCUUGUAUUGCAAACUGUGUUCAUUUCAACCUUUUAAAAUCCAAGCUCAUUACCAUAUCUAAUCAUAUUCCUUAACCCCUACAUUCAUGCUUGUUUGUUGAACCAACAGUUCCUCAUAAGACUGAUUCACAGAGCUGCUUAGGGCAACUUUUAGUAAGGAGCUGAGAGAACUCCUAACCUAUAAGAAGGGGCGAGGUUGACCCUGUCGCUAUGGAUGACAACAUGUUUCAUGAAUGAACUUAAUCACUAUGUCCACAGCUUUUGAUUGACAGGUGACUGGUUUGUGUCAGUGAACACGAAAUAAAAUAUUCAUCAAUACACAAGAGGGAAAAGAAUAAAUUAAACUUAAUUAGAAAUAUAUAUCUAGAAAACCUUCCUAACUGGACUAUAAUGAAUCUAUAGCUAUUUAUAUGUUAUGUUUGCUGUAGGCCAUUAGUCCUGAAGUGGUAGAAGAAGCCUGUGGUGAAAUA